GCUGACUAUUGACUUCAAAAGGAGGAAAACAGAGGUCCAUAAGCCAGUCCUCAUCAGGGCAUUACAGGUGGAGGGAGUCAAUAAAUUCCUCAGUAUUAUCAUUCCUGCACAUAAGUGCCCUUAUGAAGAAAGCACGGCAGUGCCUCAACUUUAUUAGAAGUUUGUGAAGACAUCUAAAACACUGACAAACUUCUGUAGAUGUGUGGUGGAGAGUAUAUGAAGAAAGAAAAUGAAUCUCAGGGUUGUAUGUGGUGAGAUAGUUAGGUCAUGGAACAUCUGCCAGAAAUUGACAAUGGCUUCAUCUGUCUUUGUGUAUCCUUUACCAUAUCUCGUAUUCUGUCAGAGGGUGCAGAAAAAGACAUGAGGACACACACAACUUGGGAACUCUCUCUUGCCGUUUGAUGUGUGCUGUCUGCUGGGAUUUUAUCAAGAUAUUGAUUAACUCAACAUAUUUGUGGAUUUACUGUGUGCAUCCAAAUUGUUUCUAACACCAGAAAUGUGUAGGUACACAUAACGAUGUCUCAUGGAUUCCACGCAUGCUUUGACCUUGUGAUCAAGAUUAGCCUUCCGUGAAACAACACAAAUGUGCAAAAAUUUGGCUUCCAUAGAGAUGACGAGGCUGUUUGUUGAGACGAUGGCCCAACCGAUCCUUCGCCACAGUUUUUUAAAUUCUAUUUGAGUGUGGAAUGUGUUGACAGUGGAGGCAGAUAUGCGUUAAAUUUUUCGAGAACAUACCGGAUGUACCCAAACCAAAAGCCAUGGAUGAACCAGGAGAUUCAUGGUUUUCUGAGGGCUAGAUAUGGAGCAUUCAACACUGAUGAUUCAAAACUAUACAAGAAGCCCAAGUAAAACCUACAGAAGGCUAUUUUAAGGGCAAAACAAAACAAUUCCAAUUGAGGUCAGAAACAAAAUCAGGUGCAUGUCACCUCUGACAGAGGGUGCAGGCCAUUACUUCCCUCAAGGCAAAACCUAACAUUAUGAUUGGCUGUGAUGCUUCACUCCCAGAUGAGUUCAACGUCUUUCAUGUAUACCUUGGACGAGAGAAUAAAACUACACCUGUGUGAAUCCCUGCCGCAUCUGGGGACACUGUGCUCUCUGUCAAUAUCAUAACAUCUUUCAAGAGGGUGAACCAUCAAAAGGCAUCAGGUCCUGACGGUGUAUCUGGAAGGGCUCUGAAAAUCUGUGCCAACCAACUGGCGGGAGUGUUCAAUCUCUCAUUGCUGCAGGUGGUGGUUCCACCUGCUUCAAAAGGGUGACAAUCAUACCAGUGCCCAAGAAGAGCAGGGUGAGCUGCCUCAAUGACUAUUGCCCAGUGACAUUCACACAUACUGUGAUGAAGUGCUCUGAGAGGUUGGUCAUUGCUACAAUUAACUCCUGCCUAUGCAAGGACCUGGACCCGCUGCAAUUUACCUACUGCUACUCUAGGCAUACAGCAAGUGCAACCUCAUUGGCUCUCCUCUCGGCCUUGGAUCCCCUGGACAACAGUAAUACCUAGGCAUACACGAGGAGAUCUGCAGGUGCUGGAAAUUCAAACAACACAAACAAAAUGCCGGUGGAAUGCAGCAGGCCAGGCAUCAUCUAUAGGGAGAAGCACUGUCGACGUUUCAGGCCGAGACCCUUCGUCAGGACUAACUGAAAGGAAAGAUAGUAAGAGAUUUGAAAGUAGGAGGAGGAGGGGAAAUGCGAAAUGAUAGGAGAAGACUGGAGGGGGUGGGGUGAAGCUGAGAGCCAGAAAGGUGAUAGGCAAAAGGGAUACAGAGCUGGAGAAGGGAAACGAUCAUGGAACAGAAGGCCUAGGGAGAAAGAAAGGGGGAGGGGAGCACCAGAGGGAGAUGGAAAACAGGCAGAG
This is a long non-coding RNA of Hypanus sabinus (Atlantic stingray), 1849 nucleotides long. RefSeq lists it as uncharacterized. NCBI's taxonomy places the organism in Eukaryota, Metazoa, Chordata, Chondrichthyes, Myliobatiformes, Dasyatidae. The record is from RefSeq and is a predicted model, not a curated record. The transcript is spliced from 3 exons.